Molecule: long non-coding RNA, 1619 nt
Organism: Pungitius pungitius (ninespine stickleback)
Lineage: Eukaryota; Metazoa; Chordata; Actinopteri; Perciformes; Gasterosteidae
Exons: 3
Source: RefSeq, a predicted model, not a curated record
CUAAAUGUAUUUUUAUUGUAAUUCCCCCAUUUCACCAUGUGGUUGCAGUAUGGACUGAAAGUAUAGGAGGGUCGAGCACAGCAGAGCGUCACAUCUAUGCUUAGCACACUAACACCCAAUAUAGAAUAUCUUGGGGCACUAGGAGUGCUUUAGUUAUAAGCUAGUAUAGUCAAGACACUACAUGUUGAUAUGUACAUGUACAGUGAAAUGUUCUAGUGGAAAGCAUAACCACAAAAUAGCAGUUGUAGGCUGUGGCUGCAGUACCCCCAGUUGUCCAUGUGAGGGCUCUAGAAAUGAAGGCUUUACUGUAGCACACCUGACUCAUCUAUUUCUAUCUAAAGCUGCAUUUCCUCCAAUCCAGUACUGACAGUUCGCAAAAAAAAAAAUCUGCUGGCGUGAGGAAGAAGACUAUUUUUAGAUCCGGGUGAUUCAUUUUCAGCACUGAGACUGCACCAAAGGAGCCAAAAUGGGGGAGUCUUAUAGAUGCAGAAUAUGAGGAUUGACUUCUGAGCACUUGUGUCCUGCAGCUUAUCCAUAUGAACUGGGUGCAGCAGGGCCUUGAAUGAACCGGGCCGGAUGCAGACUACCCUCCUCGUGCUGCGUAUAAACGUGAGGCCCGUACUGGUGGCCUGCCGUGACUCUGCAGCCUGCUCCCUCCCUGUAUUCUGAUCACACGGGUGUUUGUGGAUUUUGUGAACAACUAACCCUGUGGGAGGAGGGGGGGUUACUGCUGACAGGGAAUUUUGCAACCAAAUGUAAUUCUGGACCUUAAUCCAAGGUGGAGUGAUUGUAGACUCAUUAAUAUGAAAACUGAUUUCCUUUUCUUCCUUUUUUUGUCUUCCUUUUUUAAACACUCAUUUAAUAUAUUAUAUAUACUGUACAUGUGUUUUCUUGUUUUAGUUGUGCUGCCGACUCUGUGCCGUAAAUAUUUAGUUGCUUGCUACAUUGGAGUUGGAAUGACAUAUGAUACAGGGAUCGAGCAGAAGUUACAGCGCUCAGCAUGUAGAGAUUAAAGGAGUGUUACAUUGACACGGUAGGAAUGUUCUCUCCGUACUGACUGGGGAAGUCAGACGAAGCGAGAACAUGGCGAUUCAAUAAAGGGGUUCAGUUUGUUUGACUAUCAAAUAGUUGAAUUGAACAGAGAAGAGACGGAUUCCAUUCGCCGGGUUACUUUUCUGUAAACUAGCCCUGAUCUGUGCCGCAGCAGUGUUAGAGGAUUAACAUGCUUUGUGAAUAGGCAGCCAGGUAAUGAGUGCGGGAGAAGGCAGAGAAUAAACCUUGCAUGCCUUCAUUGCUGCUAAGCUGGUUAAAAAUAGAGGCAGAAGAGAGGGAUUGGGAGAACCGGCGUGGACAGAAACGAUGGGGGAUGGAGGAAACGGCUGAAUUGACUGCAAGCAAAGUAAGUGAGGAAGGAUUUACCAGGGACCUGAUGGGCAAACAUCAUGUGUAUGACAAUGAUGAGCAUGUUGGGCUGCAUGCUGUUGGCUUGGUUGGCAAGAAAGACAAACUGUGUGAGAGAGGAGCACGGGGGAGGCCGAGACAAUGGCACCACGGUGAGUGACGCUGUCGAGACGCCCUCUCGAUAUGGAAGGCAUGCAAGAGGAACGGAAAGAGAGAAG